UAGGGAAUCUUCGGCAAUGGGGGGAACCCUGACCGAGCAACGCCGCGUGAGUGAAGAAGGUUUUCGGAUCGUAAAGCUCUGUUGUUAAGGAAGUACGAGUGUGAGAAUGGAAAGUUCAUGCUGUGACGGUACUUAACCAGAAAGGGACGGCUAACUACGUGCCAGCAGCCGCGGUAAUACGUAGGUCCCGAGCGUUGUCCGGAUUUAUUAGGCGUAAAGCGAGCGCAGGCGGUUAGAAAAGUCUGAAGUGAAAGGCAGUGGCUCAACCAUUGUAGGCUUUGGAAACUGUUUAACUUGAGUGCAGAAGGGGAGAGUGGAAUUCCAUGUGUAGCGGUGAAAUGCGUAGAUAUAUGGAGGAACACCGGUGGCGAAAGCGGCUCUCUGGUCUGUAACUGACGCUGAGGCUCGAAAGCGUGGGGAGCGAACAGG
RNAcentral lists this ribosomal RNA (429 nucleotides) under Bacteroidota bacterium. RNAcentral describes it as "Bacteroidetes bacterium partial 16S ribosomal RNA". It matches the Rfam family "Bacterial small subunit ribosomal RNA", at positions 355 to 776 of the family's 1533-position model. The record is from RNAcentral. Lineage: Bacteria; Pseudomonadati; Bacteroidota.